RNAcentral lists this transfer RNA (65 nucleotides) under Platycnemis foliacea. RNAcentral describes it as "tRNA-Glu". It matches the Rfam family "tRNA". From Rfam's summary of the family: Transfer RNA (tRNA) molecules are approximately 80 nucleotides in length. The record is from RNAcentral. Lineage: Eukaryota; Metazoa; Arthropoda; Insecta; Odonata; Platycnemididae.
AUUUAUAUAGUUUAUAAAAACAUUACAUUUUCAUUGUAAAAAUAAAAGAUCACUUUUUAUAAAUG